This 3423-nucleotide unclassified non-coding RNA is filed under the name Hevea brasiliensis (rubber tree). The record is from RNAcentral. Lineage: Eukaryota; Viridiplantae; Streptophyta; Magnoliopsida; Malpighiales; Euphorbiaceae.
UUCCAAUAAAACUUGUCCUCAAAAUUUUCCAUAUAAAAAAAUAAAUAAACAUUGUUUCAAUAGACCAAAUCGAAAGUGAGACCAGAAGAUCCUAUAAUCUGGUCUCAUACCCUUUGAACCAUUGAACCAAAACCAAACCAGAUCGAACCGGCUGCUAGGCCUAACAAAGACUUCAAAUUGAGAGCCUCCCAAGAUGCCGAAUCAAUGCUAAAAUGUGUUUUGAGAGCGAAUUUAUAGCAGACAAUAUAGACGACUAAACAGCGUCCUAUGCUGCUAAGAAUAAAAUCGAAAGACAUCCAAAUUGACCAUUGAAAACUUCAAUGCCAACAGUAGAAGAAAUGAAAGCUGUGCAGCCUUUGAACACAAAUGAAGAAAACCAUCUCAAGAACAGGAAGACUGAGACUUUGGUAAAAUGAGUCAUUUUUCAACUGUCAAUUGUGCAACAUAAAUAAAGCCAUUCAUAUCCUCGCAAUCCCAUUCAACUCUAUGUGCUAACAACAGAACCAUAAACAACCCCCUAUAGGAAACAAAGAUACCAGGCCAAGAUGCAAGGACAAAAUGAUCGACAUAAAAGCCACAAGCACCUUCAAAAUAUUUCACUGUCUAUAUAUGUAUAUAUAAAAUAUCUAUCAGCAGUUGAUUAGUCAAGGAAGCGUUAAGCAUGAUUCAGUGCAAUGGAGAACGAGGGAUGCGAGGCCGAACAGGUGUCUUUGAUGGGCUCACCCUUAUUGGCAGAGAUCCCAGGACCGCACCACUACAGUUAAGUGCCAAAAUUGCGCUUUCAGCCUGCAAGAAAUAGAAAAACAGCAUAAAAAACCAUUCUUAUGCAUAGCACCCAACUGCACCCGUGUCCACAAAAAUCAAACCCACACUACAAUAACAAGUCCACUAGAUGGAUUACAAUUUGGUUAUCCAACAGUACUUCCCAACAUAACAUAUAAAUUAAUGGCAAUCAUAUUGGUAUUUAGAUGAUUGCAGUGUAAGUUAGGUUUCACACAGAUAUUCGUGCUCCCCAUCUAUGGCAUCAUUAUAUACCCGGAUUAGCCAACAAGUGUUUUAUAUAUGCAGCUAUUCCAUUAGAAUGCAAUGUUAAUGAAAGUGACCCAAAAAGUAAACCAAACUCUCAAACCUUUAUCAGAACAUCAGCUUCAGAAAAAUAUAAUUAUAUUAAUGGUGACUUGGGAGAUUAUUAAUGGAAAAGGCCACAAGGAACCAACAUCAAGAAAUGUAAUAUUACCUCGAUAACAUAAAAUGAAGAGAAACAAAUCCGGCAGAAAGAAGAAUCAAGAAAAACAACUUCAAAAGAAUGAAGCUGGAUAUUUCCAAUUUUAAUGGUUUUCAAGCAACCGAAGAAGCUCGAAGAGGCAACAUGUCAUAGCCAUGAAAAACCAUCAAAGAAAAGAGUAAUUUUCUAUAAACAACUAUAGGAAAGUAAUAAUUAUAGAUACUAUUCCUAAUUCCUAUACCUAGUUAUCUGUCCAUCAUCCCAUUUCCUGCUGACAUUCUAGUUAUAGAGAGAGAGAACUCUCUGUUCUUAGCUAUAAAUAGUAGUAUGAUCAGACAAAAAAAAGUCUACCAAGACAAUUGCAACCCCCCAUAAAAUCUAAACUUGAUAUCAUGGCCGUAGUUGCAUCCCCAGACAUUGCCACCAAGCAAAUUUCUCCAUUUUCAUAUGGAAGAGACUAAAACUAUUUACCCUUUAGUAGAUGUUAAUGGUGCACUUCAAUUGUGCAACCUUAACAUUGAGAUUUUUAUAAUAAAAUAUACCAAAGGUGGCAAGAAAAGUAGAAAUUCUCUUAAAACAAUUGGAAAUUUACAUGUUAUUGCAAAGCCUUUUACAGCAGUUGAGAGAACUAUCCUCUAGGGUUGGAUACACACUUGACACUUGUGAGGUGAACUUUAUAUCUCAUGAUAGAAAUUUGAUCACUCAUUUGUUUUCUUAAAUAAUCUAGAAAGUAAAAGGUAGACAAUCUUUUGUCACUUUUACGGAUGACUACUCAAAAUAUAUACCAUAAGAAACAAGAUGGCUAAGGAACAAUUUAGUGCAGAUAAAGGAGAAGCCUGAAUGAAGCUAAAAUUAUACCAUCCACAUCAUCCAUUCAGAAAAAGAAGGAAAAUACACCGUCAGAGUUUUCCAGCAUUGUGAAGAUGAAGGACCAGGAAAACAAUCAACAGUUUCCUAUACUCAGUGAUGGAGAAAUUGAACUCUGAUUAAAAAAAUGAGAGUUCUGUGCCAAGUGCCACUAGCUAAGGCCUUACGUGAAUUUUUCUAGGCAAUCACUCUUAUGUCUAUUUGUCACACUGGUUCCCAUAAGAAAGUGAGCACUCCUAUCAAGUUAUCAAAAGGCUAAAUAACAAAAAUCAGUUUAUUACAGAGUUUGGGGCAGCUUAUCUCAGAUACAACUAGCAGAUCAACAGAUUUGAUGGUCCCAAAUUUUGGUUGAUCACCAGCCAGAAAGAGGCACAGAUCUAUAGACUUAGGCUCCUGCACCAUAUAUGAUUAUGGAACCUUUCCGGACAAGUAUCCACACUCCCCCAUCCCCCGCUGUUCCCUCUCUUUUUCACUCUUCCCCCUCCACUCCCUGAAACUCUUACAUCAGCCAUGAAUUUCAAAGCAAUUAGCUAUCAUUGCAUACUUAAACAAGAUCCAAAUCAACCUGAAUUGCCAUUUCAGCUUUGAAAGUAAACUCCAGUCUCCAUCCCCAGUUUCCAUAUAGACAGCCAAUCAAAUAUAUGGCAUUGGCAUUGUGAACCUCUACAACUCGAAUAACUAAAUUUGUUUAUGGAGUUCAGAAUUUAAUAAGAAAUAAAUAUUGAAACUAAUAUAGUGGACAGUUAAGUACUUUCCUAGAAUGAAAUAAUUCACCCAAGUAACUCCAUAUACCACAUCCAAGUUUCAACUGUUCACGUCCAUGUAAGCAUCAUUAUUCAUCCAAAAUGUCCUGAAGUGAAAUUAUGGAAAACCAUAAAGAUACCAAAUCCUAUAAUUCAGAUAUGAAGCCACAAGGAAUUCCUUUGCAAAAGAGUGGAUACAUCACAUCCAACGUAGCAAAAACAAAAUUUCAUUUAUGCUUGAACAAAGUGCAUUCCCACAAUCUAUAAACAAAUGGAAUAGUAACAUGCCAGAAGAAAUAUAUAAUUGCCUUCACAUAACUCAGAGAACCAAAGAAAGGAACUCACUCAGAGCUACUGAACUUUUAUUGGUGAAAUUUAAUUGCACUUUCUCCAAAAGCGAUAUAAUAAUAGCACUGUAAACAGAUUAUAAGCCUUUCGAUUCAGGCUAUUUCAACAAAAUGCAUCAGAAUUUCCCAAAAACAUUAAGAGGUUAUAUAUAAACAUAUGCAACCUCCAACAAACUAGAGAUAAUCUCCUUUUCUUCUGCCACCAGUAGCUCUACUCAUUGCAACGUAGGAAAAACAUUUA